GACGCGAAAGCAUGGGGAGCGAACGGGAUUAGAAACCCCGGUAGUCCAUGCUGUAAACGAUGCGGACUAGGUGUGGCGGUGAGGAGCCGCUGUGCCGUAGCGAACGUGAUAAGUCCGCCACCUGGGGAGUACGGCCGCAAGGUUAAAACUCAAAGGAAUUGACGGGGGCCCGCACAAGCAGCGGAGCGUGUGGUUUAAUUCGAGGCUACACGAAGAACCUUACCUGGGCUUGACAUGGCGGUGGUAGCGACCUGAAAGGGGAGCGACCUUCGGGAGCCGUCACAGGUGCUGCAUGGCUGUCGUCAGCUCGUGUUGUGAGAUGUUCGGUUAAGUCCGGUAACGAGCGCAACCCUCGCCGUCAGUUACAAGUGUCUGGCGGGACUGCCCGUUGAACGCGGGAGGAAGGUGGGGAUGACGUCAAGUCAGCAUGGCCUUAAUGUCCAGGGCUACACACACGCUACAAUGGCCGGCACAGCAGGUUGCCAACCCGCGAGGGGGAGCCAAUCCCGUAAAGCCGGUCUCAGCUCGGAUCGCAGGCUGCAACCCGCCUGCAUGAAGUGGGAGUGUAGUAAACGCGCUCAGCCAAGGCG
RNAcentral lists this ribosomal RNA (590 nucleotides) under uncultured bacterium. Its description in RNAcentral is "bacterial SSU rRNA". It matches the Rfam family "Bacterial small subunit ribosomal RNA", at positions 750 to 1359 of the family's 1533-position model. The record is from RNAcentral.